Molecule: unclassified non-coding RNA, 1063 nt
Filed under: Melitaea cinxia (Glanville fritillary)
Lineage: Eukaryota; Metazoa; Arthropoda; Insecta; Lepidoptera; Nymphalidae
Description: misc RNA ENSMCXG00005021805.1
Source: RNAcentral
CGAAAUCUCCGAAACUAUAACACCUACAAACUUGAAAUUUGGCAGGUAGGUUCCUUAUAGGGCGUAAACAUCCGGUAAGAACGGAUUUUAGGAAAAUCGACCCCUAAGGGGAUAACAACGGGGGUCGGAAGUUUGUAUGAAAGUCCUAUGUUUUUGAAGUAAGAGAGUUGAAAUUUAAAAUGUAUGCUCUAUAGAUGGUGAGGAAGUGUCCAAAUAAUACAUCGUAAUCUAUACAUAUAAAAGAGAAAGGUCACUGACUCACUCAUCACGAGAACCCAAAAACCGCUGGAUGGCCCAUCCAUGAAAUUUGGCAGGGAGGUAGAUUAUAGUUAGUAGACGUCCGCUAAGAACGGAUUUUGCGAUAUUCCACCGCUAAGGGGGUUUAAUUGGGUUUGGUAGUUUGUAUGAAACAUAUACAGCAGCUCUAAGUUCGCCUGAUAGGUUAUUUAUACUGCAGGCUGGAAAUAAAACUAAACAUUUGGUGUAUAGAGAGAUUAUAUGAAAAUAACUAUUAAAUUAUACCAAAUUUUGCCUUUGAAAAAGUUACUCAGAGUGAUAAGCAUUUCAAGUGACUGAAAUAAAAAAAGAAUUUGCGUUAAGCAUCUUAAUAGUAAUGCAUAUCGUCCUAACCACGGGGACGUAGUCGCGGGCAACAGUUCGCUUCAGCCUGUAAUAUCCCACUGUUGGGCAUAGUCCUCUUUCCCCAUGUAGGAAAAGGAUCAGAGCUUAAUUUACAAUGCUGUUCCAAUGCGGAUUGGCGGAUAUAUUCCCUAGUAUGAGUAACGAUCGCUAUCAGGUGUACAUGAUAACAACCGGGACCGACGGCCUAACGUGCUCUCCGAGGCACGGUGGGGAGACCCACAAGAACUGCACAAACACCCAGACCAUGGCAAACACCUGUAUGGCCAAUACAAAUGUAUGUCAUGUACGGGGAUCGAACCCGCAACCGCCAGCGCAACCGGCACAAUCCAUGUGUUUUAGCUGUGACCGUUACGCCAACGCGGCGUCAAAAUUUAAUGUAUCAUAAAACAAAGUCCCCAAAAGCGUAUGUGAUCGAUUCCCU